AUUGGGAAUGGGCGAAGCCUGACCCAGCAACNCCGCGUGGGUGAUGAAGCAUUGAGGUGCUNCAAGCCCUGUUAGGAGGGAAGAAUCUCCGCCAUCUGGCGGACUGACGGUACCUCCNUAGCAAGCUCCGGCUAACUCCGUGCCAGCAGCCGCGGUAAUACGGGGGGAGCAAGCGUUGUCCGGAUUUACUGGGCGUAAAGAGAGUGUAGGCGGGAAGAUAAGUCAGUGGUGAAAACUUGCGGCUCAACCGUAAGCGUGCUUCUGAUACUGUCUUCCUUGAGUACGGAAGGGGAAAGCGGAAUUCCUGGUGUAGCGGUGAAAUGCGUAGAUAUCAGGAAGAACACCAGUAGCGUAGGCGGCUUUCUGGUCCGUAACUGACGCUGAGACUCGAAAGCGUGGGGAGCAAACAGGAUUAGAUACCCUGGUAGUCCACGCCGUAAACGAUGGGCACUAGGUGUUGGAGGUUUCGACCCCUUCAGUGCCGAAGCAAACGCAUUAAGUGCCCCGCCUGGGGAGUACGGUCGCNAGGCUGAAACUCAAAGGAAUUGACGGA
Molecule: ribosomal RNA, 553 nt
Filed under: uncultured bacterium
Lineage: Bacteria
Description: bacterial SSU rRNA
Rfam family: Bacterial small subunit ribosomal RNA
Source: RNAcentral